Molecule: ribosomal RNA, 521 nt
Filed under: Staphylococcus aureus
Lineage: Bacteria; Bacillati; Bacillota; Bacilli; Caryophanales; Staphylococcaceae
Description: bacterial SSU rRNA
Rfam family: Bacterial small subunit ribosomal RNA
Source: RNAcentral
UUCCCCUUCGGGGGACAAAGUGACAGGUGGUGCAUGGUUGUCGUCAGCUCGUGUCGUGAGAUGUUGGGUUAAGUCCCGCAACGAGCGCAACCCUUAAGCUUAGUUGCCAUCAUUAAGUUGGGCACUCUAAGUUGACUGCCGGUGACAAACCGGAGGAAGGUGGGGAUGACGUCAAAUCAUCAUGCCCCUUAUGAUUUGGGCUACACACGUGCUACAAUGGACAAUACAAAGGGCAGCGAAACCGUGAGGUCAAGCAAAUCCCAUAAAGUUGUUCUCAGUUCGGAUUGUAGUCUGCAACUCGACUACAUGAAGCUGGAAUCGCUAGUAAUCGUAGAUCAGCAUGCUACGGUGAAUACGUUCCCGGGUCUUGUACACACCGCCCGUCACACCACGAGAGUUUGUAACACCUGAAGCCGGUGGAGUAACCUUUUAGGAGCUAGCCGUCGAAGGUGGGACAAAUGAUUGGGGUGAAGUCGUAACAAGGUAGCCGUAUCGGAAGGUGCGGCUGGAUCACCUCCUUU